GGCAGACGGGUGAGUAACAUGUAGGUAUCUACCCUUUGGCCUGGAAUAACACGAGGAAACUUGUGCUGAUACCGGAUAAGUCUUUACGGAGAAAGCUUUAUGCACCAAUGGAUGAGCCUGCACUUGAUUAGUUAGUUGGUAAGGUAAUAGCUUACCAAGACUUUGAUCAAUAGCUGAUUUGAGAGGAUGAUCAGCCACAUUGGGACUGAGACACGGCCCAAACUCCUACGGGAGGCAGCAGUGGGGAAUCUUGCACAAUGGAGGAAACUCUGAUGCAGCGAUGCCGCGUGAGUGAAGAAGGCCUUUGGGUUGUAAAGCUCUUUCGUCGGGGAAGAAAAUGACUGUACCCGAAUAAGAAGGUCCGGCUAACUUCGUGCCAGCAGCCGCGGUAAUACGAAGGGACCUAGCGUAGUUCGGAAUUACUGGGCUUAAAGAGUUCGUAGGUGGUUGAAAAAGUUGGUGGUGAAAUCCCAGAGCUUAACUCUGGAACUGCCAUCAAAACUUUUCAGCUAGAGUAUGAUAGAGGAAAGCAGAAUUUCUAGUGUAGAGGUGAAAUUCGUAGAUAUUAGAAAGAAUACCAAUUGCGAAGGCAGCUUUCUGGAUCAUUACUGACACUGAGGAACGAAAGCAUGGGUAGCGAAGAGGAUUAGAUACCCUCGUAGUCCAUGCCGUAAACGAUGUGUGUUAGACGUUGGAAAUUUAUUUUCAGUGUCGCAGUGAAAACGAUAAACACAC
RNAcentral lists this ribosomal RNA (735 nucleotides) under uncultured marine bacterium. RNAcentral describes it as "bacterial SSU rRNA". It matches the Rfam family "Bacterial small subunit ribosomal RNA", at positions 97 to 869 of the family's 1533-position model. The record is from RNAcentral.